UCUUAACUUCUUUGAUGAAUUCUGCAGGUUCAAUGGCUAGAGUAUUCACAAGCCUCCAAGAAAAUGCACCAAAAAGCGGUAUCCUUGCUUCCUUUAUUUUUUCCACCCCCACUAAUCAAUUUUUCUAUCAUUAUUAUUGUUACUUCCAUCAAAGCGAUUUUUAUACUGUUCGUGUUAUUUUAUCAAACGAACAUAUGAAGUUUUUACCGUGUUACAUUAGAACAAAUUCAUUUCAAUAUUUACGUUUUUGGUGGUCUUUUAAUUUAACUCUUUAGCAGUACUGCAUUCGUAUCUUAAUUAUGUAUUUGUGACUGUUUCCUUAAUUCUUUUGAAGUUGUAAUGGGUUCCGCAAUUGGUGUUGCUACAAAUUUCACACUCCUAAGCCAGAUAUUGUUCUACCAAAAGCCAAGGGUUACUAAGAAAGAGAAGAAAACGAAAUAGAAGAACUAUACAAAGUCAUGUAUACUGCUACUUCCGAGUUCCUCGUGUUCAUCUUUCAACAGGUGCUACGUCCUUGAAGCCAUACUCAAAAUUUUAUCACUGUUGAAUUGACCCUUUUGAACAUUUACUUUUUUUCAACUGCUGAUUCUUAAGGUAGCCAACUUAGAAUGGGUAACUGGGGGACUUAAAUGGGUAAUUUCGGAGAGUGAUGUAAUAUUUUUUUUGGGUAUUUUAAUUGAUUUCAUGUAAUCUUUUGUUUUGGUAUUAACUUAAUGCAAUUUUAACAUUUCAAAAAGUUUUUAUAAGGUAUUGUAUAAUUAGGA
Molecule: non-coding RNA, 764 nt
Organism: Arachis ipaensis
Lineage: Eukaryota; Viridiplantae; Streptophyta; Magnoliopsida; Fabales; Fabaceae
Source: RefSeq, a predicted model, not a curated record